RNAcentral lists this ribosomal RNA (459 nucleotides) under uncultured bacterium. RNAcentral describes it as "SSU rRNA". It matches the Rfam family "Bacterial small subunit ribosomal RNA", at positions 26 to 518 of the family's 1533-position model. The record is from RNAcentral.
AAGGUGAAUGCUGGCGGUAUGGAUAAGGCAUGCAAGUCACGGGGGCCGUAAAGCAACCGGCAGACGAGGUAGUAACACGUAGGAAGAUACCCCGAAGUCUGGUAUAGCUCGCCGAAAGGCGGGGUAAUCCCGGAUAGUCUCACGGAUUAAUUUCCUUGAGUAAAGCUCCGGCGCUUCGGGAGUCGCCUGCGUAAUAUCAGCUAGUUGGUAAGGUAAUGGCUUACCAAGGCUACGACGUUUAGGGGAGCUGAGAGGCUGACCCCCACCGAUGAGACUGAGAACGGCUCAUACCCCUACGGGGGGGCCGCAGCCGAGAAUAUUCGACAAUGGGCGAAAGCCUGAUCGAGCGAUACCGCGUGGUGGAUGAAGUGCUUCGGCACGUAAACACCUUUUAUGAGGGAGGAAGUAAUUGACGUUACCUCAUGAAUAAGGGGCUCCUAACUCUGCGCCAGCAGCCGC